AUUGAACGCUGGCGGCAGGCCUAACACAUGCAAGUCGAGCGGAUGAAGGGAGCUUGCUCCUGGAUUCAGCGGCGGACGGGUGAGUAAUGCCUAGGAAUCUGUCUGGUAGUGGGGGAUAGCGUCCGGAAACGGGCGCUAAUACCGCAUACGUCCUGAGGGAGAAAGUGGGGGAUCUUCGGACCUCACGCUAUCAGAUGAGCCUAGGUCGGAUUAGCUAGUUGGUGGGGUAAAGGCCUACCAAGGCGACGAUCCGUAACUGGUCUGAGAGGAUGAUCAGUCACACUGGAACUGAGACACGGUCCAGACUCCUACGGGAGGCAGCAGUGGGGAAUAUUGGACAAUGGGCGAAAGCCUGAUCCAGCCAUGCCGCGUGUGUGAAGAAGGUCUUCGGAUUGUAAAGCACUUUAAGUUGGGAGGAAGGGCAGUAAGUUAAUACCUUGCUGUUUUGACGUUACCAACAGAAUAAGCACCGGCUAACUUCGUG
This 484-nucleotide ribosomal RNA is filed under the name uncultured bacterium. RNAcentral's name for it is "partial 16S ribosomal RNA". It matches the Rfam family "Bacterial small subunit ribosomal RNA", at positions 30 to 507 of the family's 1533-position model. The record is from RNAcentral.